RNAcentral lists this ribosomal RNA (253 nucleotides) under uncultured bacterium. Its description in RNAcentral is "partial 16S ribosomal RNA". It matches the Rfam family "Bacterial small subunit ribosomal RNA", at positions 524 to 776 of the family's 1533-position model. The record is from RNAcentral.
UACGUAGGGUGCAAGCGUUGUCCGGAAUUAUUGGGCGUAAAGAGCUCGUAGGCGGUUUGUCGCGUCGAAUGUGAAAACCCGGGGCUCAACCCCGGGCCUGCAUUCGAUACGGGCAGACUAGAGUUCGGUAGGGGAGUCUGGAAUUCCUGGUGUAGCGGUUAAAUGCGCAGAUAUCAGGAGGAACACCGGUGGCGAAGGCGGGACUCUGGGCCGAUACUGACGCUGAGGAGCGAAAGCGUGGGGAGCGAACAGG